Vicia villosa (hairy vetch) is the source of this 72-nucleotide non-coding RNA. Lineage: Eukaryota; Viridiplantae; Streptophyta; Magnoliopsida; Fabales; Fabaceae. The record is from the annotation of a RefSeq genome assembly.
GUCAGGAUGGCCGAGUGGUCUAAGGCGCCAGACUCAAGUUAGAGGGCGUGGGUUCAAAUCCCACUUCUGACA